GGCACAAAGUUGAAGUAGAGUAGAGUAGCAUGGUCAGCUGACCUUUCUAAACUACUCUACUUCGAAUUUGAGCCC
Non-coding RNA from Haemonchus contortus (barber pole worm), 75 nucleotides. The record is from Rfam. Lineage: Eukaryota; Metazoa; Nematoda; Chromadorea; Rhabditida; Trichostrongylidae.